Molecule: unclassified non-coding RNA, 261 nt
Filed under: Hevea brasiliensis (rubber tree)
Lineage: Eukaryota; Viridiplantae; Streptophyta; Magnoliopsida; Malpighiales; Euphorbiaceae
Source: RNAcentral
CGGAGCCAAUUUUCAAGAUCUAUUUAACACGGCAGAGAUGUUAUCGAAGAGAAAUAAAGAGAUCCGUGGGGUGUAAAAAGGAAUGAAACUAAAAAUUGACGAGCAGAUCUGAAACUGUAGAAAUAACACAGAAACCCUAAAAUUUUUUGGCUGUAAAUGAGAAGGGAGGAAGAGGGGAGGAAGUCUGUGUUUGAAUUUUUCUGCGUCCGCCACAAAUGAGAAAAUGUUAAUAGCAGACAGCGAGAGAGAGAGAGAGAGAGA